This is a non-coding RNA of Taeniopygia guttata (zebra finch), 968 nucleotides long. The record is from RefSeq and is a predicted model, not a curated record. Lineage: Eukaryota; Metazoa; Chordata; Aves; Passeriformes; Estrildidae.
CCUAUGUCCUGUUGUCCGCUCCCUAGAUGCAUGUGAGAAGAGGCCAACCCUCAUCUGGCUACAGCCUCCUUUCAGGUGGUUGUGGAGAGUGAUGAGGUUUCCCCUGAGCCUCCUUUUCUCCAUGAGAAACAUAACAUAAACACCUGCAGCUCCCUCAGCCACUGCUCAAUAGAAAUGUGCUCCAGAUCCUCCACCAGCUCUGUUGGCCUCCUCUGGACACACCUCACUAUCUUUCUUGGUGUGGGGGGCCCAGAACUGAACAAGGAAAAAUAUCUAGCAAUUCACAAAAAUAGCAAGGUUAUAAACAAACAGGAGGUGGGUUGUUGCCAAAACUUCAGAGACUCCAAGAAACUGAGGAAGAAAGGGUGUAAGCUGGAGCACCUUAGCCUAUGCAGUUAAACCAAGCCUACUGGCUGUAUAAACUAAAGAAUGAAAUCUUUGCCAAUCUGGAAUCCAUAUGAUAACCUGGGUGGAAAUCUAAAAUCCAUGGAUCCUUUUAGAGAAAGAGAAUGGUAACUUGUAUGUUUUCUUGGUAUUUCAACUCCCUGAUAAAGUUAGAGAUUUUACAGGUUGAGAUAAUGAGGGUGAUUUUUGUAUUGGUCCCCAGGGAGAUGACAGAGAGUAGCAUAAAAUGAUCUUGCUCAGAGCUGUGCUCUGAGAUUACUGUCUUCUUACUAGUGCACAGAGGGCACUGUGUUAACCUAAAUGCUAAUCUGGUAAAUAUAUAUAAAGAUCAUUUUGGUGUCAUACUUUUUACUAAAGCAGUAUAUUUAAUAUUAAUUGUUUUGACUUUUGCAAGUUUCUGUUGUGAUUGCUAAUGGUAACUGAAGUUACUUAGGAUGCCUGGCUAAGCUGGUUAUUUGACCAAUAUUACAGAAUUUUUACUGGCGCAUAACUUCUCAGACAGACUACUGAUUUUCCUCAAAUGUGGUAACUGCAGUAGCAAAUACUAUGAAAACUAGCAAAUA